Molecule: long non-coding RNA, 3036 nt
Organism: Phyllostomus hastatus (greater spear-nosed bat)
Lineage: Eukaryota; Metazoa; Chordata; Mammalia; Chiroptera; Phyllostomidae
Exons: 3
Source: RefSeq, a predicted model, not a curated record
GAAGGAUUUGAGCCUGGGCUUCAAUCAAGGCGGAGGCUGCAGGGCCCACGGGGCACCCCCCACCCCCUACACACGCCUCCCCAGAGCCCUGGAAGGCGCAGCCCCGGGGGGCUGCCCCCCGGAGGAGGCAGCUGCGUUAUUGCCUAGGGCCCUUCCAAAAGGUGGUAUCGUCCCACACCCAGCAACAGUGCCCGUGUGAGGGUGCCCGUAUCCAGCCCCCUCGCACCCCCUGGCAAGGACGCAGUGUGUCAGGGGAAGCGAACCAGCCCCAAAUGAGUUGCAGAUAAACCUGCCAGGAAUUUCAGCGAAUGAAAUGCGGACUGUGUAAAGGCCAGAGGACAGAAAACGCUCCACUUUUGAUGAAAGGAGGUCUGCUCGGCUUCGAAUCCUCCCUCCUGCUGGUCAGGAGACGCAAGGAUAUAUCCAGAGGAGCUGAUGAAUUGAGGGGAAAAAAACAAGGCCACUGUGAGUUGCCUUUCAAGUGCUGUGCUGAUAUAAAAACCAAACAACUUGAAACUGUUCCAAGAGGGGAUUAAAGCAACAUGUUAUUGUGAGUGAUUGCUUAAUUUAUUGAGCUGUGGCAAGAUCUGUAAUGAAAUACAGCUCUUGCAACUGAUAACCUCCUGCUGCAAUUGAACUUGACAAUUAAGGAAUAUUUUCCAAGGAUUUUUCUGGAACAGCUUAGGAUUUUUCGUCUCCAUGGUGGGGUGCUUCUCAGCACUCAUUUUUGCAGGCAAGCUUUUUUUUUUUUUUUAAAGAAUGAAAGGCUGACAUUAAUGAGGAAAUAGUGGCAUUUUAUUGAAUGCCUUGUGGGCCCAGGCACUUAAUAUACAUUAUUUCUAACCCUGACAACAACCCAAUGAAGUAACUCUUAUUAGUCCCUAUUUUAAAGAUACAGGGUUUCUAGGUGUUAAGUAAUUUUCCACAGUGAUGUUGUCCAAGUCAGUAGCCAUUAGCCACUUGUGGCUACUUACGUCUAAAUUAGUUAAAAAUUGAAAAAUUCACUUCCUAGGUUGCAGUAGUGACUAGUUCAAGUGCCCACUCACUUGUGUGGCUACUGGGUACCACACUGGACAGUGCAGAUGUAGGCCGUUUGGAUGCCUGGAAAGUCCUAGUGAUCAGCAUUGUCCCAGAUUUUGUAGGUAGAAACUGGCAGUGCUAGAAUUCAAACCAGAGCCAAUGAGCUUCGAAGGCAGCACUAUUCUGUCAUUACCCCUUCUUUCUUCGCUUCCUCGGGCUGAGAGGUAAGCACUAGAGCUGUGACUGUAAACCCUGGCUGCACAUUCAAAUUACCUGAACUGCUUUAAAAAAAUAUUGAUGGAUCUCCUGGCCCUGGACAUUCUUUGGUUCGUAGCCCAGCACUCAAUCCACCAAGCCACACCAGCCAGGGCUGGAGAUUCGGACUUAGCUGUGAUUUGGGGGUGCGGAGGCAGGCAUGAGGGGUUUUUAUAAUUCCUGAUGUGGACAGCCAGGAUUGAGAGCAGCUAGAUGAGAGGGUCCACACAGUAUGGUGGAAAGAACUGGUCCAUCUGCCAUGAGGAUGCGGUCCCUUGCGGACCCAGACGUGGCCUUCCACCAGGGCCACAUCCAAGCCUUUCAUCAGACACUCAGUUUCAUUUCUGAAGGAUAGACUUAAGUGCUCUCUCACAUGAUUCCUGCUUGAUGGGAGGCACAGUGAGGAGCUCUGCUUUCAGAACCAGGGCUUGUCACACUGUGGUGGAGGGAGGAGAUGGGGAUGUAGGAUUGUGGAGACAAAGUGGAGCCCACAGCCCCAAAUUUGGAUUGGGAGCAUCAGGAUGAACUCAUGCUAUAAUUUGUCUUACAGAAUAAAGCAUGUGUUUCCUAGCUCCAUCCACAGAAAAAGUUAGACAUGAUUAACAGUUCAGCAGCAGUGAGCACCGCCAGCACUCAGAUUAGGGUCUCUAAACACCACUUCUAUGAGAAAUCAGGGCUCUGUGCAGAUACAGCUAAUUCCAGGUCUGAGGGAGGACAUGUGCCAGACGGGCCAAAACAUCUGUCACUCAGGUAGCAUGGAAGCUCUCAAAGCUUCCUGGGUUCAUGUCAGAAAAGAUGAAGAGGACAGUGUGAUAGGAUAGGUGGCCAGAGACAGGACAGUUUGAGCAUCAAGAAGAGUAACUGUGCUGGACUGAAGUGUGUAUAUAUGUCUAAAUCUAUGAGUGCGCAACGAUCCUUAGGAAAAAAUCAUAAACUCAUUUGUCAUCUUCAGAGGAUGUUCAGAAACCAACUCAUUCUUGAAAACUGUCAAAGGAAAGAAUCUAGCAUUUCUCCUUUCUGGAAGUUUCUUUUUAUAGAAGUAUUCCAGCUAACCAACCAAGACAGAAGGACAGAAUUUAUUUGACACCAUUUUGCAGCCUCUAACGGACCCAGAUGGUGGUCGCCACCGCCAUGGCCAAGCCCUGUGUGCCUUCAAGUAGAAACACAAAACAGCCCCUUGGAAGUCAUCGUGGAAACACACACACACUAACCAGGCGUUAGUCUGAGGAUCUUAUAGCUCUACCUCAUGUUUUUCAAGCGAUAGAAGGGGGAGAUAAACGUGUAUCACACCACUAUGGUGACGCAAGAAGCAAAAUCCAGUCUGUAGGACACUCGACAGAACAAGCAACCCAGUUCCUCAACAAAGGCAUUGCAAGGGAAGAAAAAAGGAGGGCAAGAGCCUCCAGAUUGAGAAAGAGACAUGUCAACCAAUCCCAAUGAGUGAAACUUGUAUGGAUCCUAAUUCUAACCAACUGCAGAGAAAACAAUUAUGAGACAAUCAAAGAACUUUGAACACUCGCUAGCUGUUUGCUGACAUUAAAGCAUCACUGUUAGUUUUAGUAGGGGUGAUAGUAAAGUCAUAUACUAAGAUAUUUGCAAAAGAAAUGAUUGCUGUCUUGAUUUUGAUUUUGCUUCUAAAUACCUGAGAUGACGGAGGAGGGGAAGGGUUACCGAUGGAAGAGGACUAGCUGAGAGUUGGUGUUUAUUAAAGUUGGGUGAUGGGGAACUGGGGUUCAUUAUACCUUACACUCUAUUUUUGUG